RNAcentral lists this ribosomal RNA (255 nucleotides) under uncultured bacterium. Its description in RNAcentral is "partial 16S ribosomal RNA". It matches the Rfam family "Bacterial small subunit ribosomal RNA", at positions 524 to 776 of the family's 1533-position model. The record is from RNAcentral.
CACGUAGGGUGCGAGCGUUGUCCGGAAUUAUUGGGCGUAAAGAGCUCGUAGGCGGUGUGUCGCGUCGGCCGUGAAAACCUGCAGCUUAACUGUGGGCGUGCGGUCGAUACGGGCAUCACUGGAGUUCGGCAGGGGAGACUGGAAUUCCUGGUGUAGCGGUGAAAUGCGCAGAUAUCAGGAAGAACACCAAUGGCAAAAGCAGCUUUCUGGGACGGUACUGACGCUGGAGACGCGAAAGCGUGGGGAGCGAACAGG